UACGUAGGGUGCGAGCGUUGUCCGGAAUUACUGGGCGUAAAGAGCUCGUAGGUGGUUUGUCGCGUUGUUCGUGAAAACCGGGGGCUUAACCCUCGGCGUGCGGGCGAUACGGGCAGACUUGAGUACUGCAGGGGAGACUGGAAUUCCUGGUGUAGCGGUGGAAUGCGCAGAUAUCAGGAAGAACACCAAUGGCGAAGGCAGCUCUCUGGGACGGUACUGACGCUGAGACGCGAAAGCGUGGGGAGCGAACAGG
This 253-nucleotide ribosomal RNA is filed under the name uncultured bacterium. Its description in RNAcentral is "partial 16S ribosomal RNA". It matches the Rfam family "Bacterial small subunit ribosomal RNA", at positions 524 to 776 of the family's 1533-position model. The record is from RNAcentral.